UGAAAAUGAACAGCAAGAGAAGAUAGAAGAGAAUUCUUAUCAGAACAAGGAUUUACAGUGUAAUUGUAAUAGCCCUGUUUCUAAGAGCGAUUAUUUAAACAUUAAAUAUAUUUAUUAAGUUAAUUAUGUUUCGGAAAUUCUUAUUUUACUUGAGUUGUGGAAUGUAAUUUUUAUUUGUCGUGUUGUAAUGCAUUUAUUUAUUUAAUUAUAUGAGAUUAUUUAUUUAUUAUUAUGAUUAUUUUGGGUCUUGUGCAAUUAGUUGAGCGGUAUUUUGCAAAUUGGAAAAUCAAGGUUGGUUUCCUUCCCGAACCACCGAGCCCUUUUGUUAUGUUUAUCCGUUAAUGAAACCAAAUCAACCCCCCCCCCUUGUUAUUUUGUCGGUUUAGUUAAAUAAAACCCAAACCCAUUUCAUUUGAUUUCUCCUUCCCCGUAAAACCCCAAACCCCAGCCCGGUGAAACCCCAAUUCCUCACUCCUCAGCGUCUCUCUCGCUGACCUUCGCUUCCCCUCCGUCGUCUGCCAGUCGUCGGAGCCGCGUCGAAAAGUUUUGUCGGUGUUGCUGCUCCUUUCUUUCGCUCCUAUCAUGGUUCACGAAACCCCUGUUUCGUUCGAUUGUUCUGCCGUAGACCCGAGGUUCUUCGCCCGCGUCGCCACCCCGUCUGGCUGGAGCUUUCUUCUCUCUUCCGUCGCGCGGUUGACUCCUUGGUUGUCUCGUUGUUGUUGGUGAUUCUGCUGCUGGGUUGUCGCUGCCGUGUUCUUCUCUCUCCCCCUGUCCUGCGACCACCGCCUGGUGGUGUUGUGGUUGUUUUGUUGUUGCUGCUGCCGCUGCUUUGCGUCGCACCACGGCGAGCUCUACUCCCUCUCCCUUGUUUGUCCCUGCUCAACAGAGCAGAGGUAUAAUAUAACCUCCUCUUCUUCUUUCUGAUUUUCUAAUUUGUAAAUUAUGCCCAAAUUGUUUUUAUGUUGUUGUGCUGUUGUUACUGUUGGUAUAUUGAAUAUUUUUGGGAAUUGUUGCUAUUGUUUGUUGUUGUCCAGUUUUUCUGUCUCCUGCGUUUGUGGGGCUGUUAUGGUGCGAUUUUGCACUAUGGAAACACUAUCGUUUCAUGUUGUUGCUACGAUCAUUUUAUGGUGGUGGUUGUUUGUUGUUAUGUUGUGGUAGCAUUGUUGUUGUUACUGUUAUGUCGUAGAGAUGGUGGUCGUUGUAAGAGUUGUUAUUGUUGUUGUGAGCCAAGUUUAGCUAGUGUUAAAUUAUAGUUGAAUUGUGUAGUUGAGGUUGGUUUAUGGAAUUAGCUAGCUAGUUAGUUUCUAUUGGAAUAUUUCAAUUAGUGAAAGGAUUUGUAUUAGAGAAGAUUUAGUCUAAUGAGUCUUUAGUUUGAAUGUUAUUUGGAUUAGUUCCUCUAUUCGAAAUAUAGUGAGAUUGGAAAGCAAUUGAUUAUUGUUAUUAUUUUGAGGUUAUUAUUGGAGGAUGAUUAUGGAAUUGAAUCUCAUUUGGGGAUGAAGAUUAUUGAAGGAGGUUAUAUUGUUGGAACUGGAUUGCGGUUCAGGUAACUUUUAUGUUCAGUAAAAUUAUUUACUCAUGCCCAUGUGUGUAUGGAUCUUUAUUCUGUUUUUGAUACUUAAGUUCGUACUAUGGCCAUAGUUAUGAAUGUGAUGAUGAAUGUCAUUGAUUGAUUAUGAAUACGAAAACUGUUUUGCUGGCUUAGUUUAUGAACUGAAAAUAGAAAGUGGGCAAUGUAUGGGUGGAGGAUGGUUACUCUUUUGACCUGAUACGGUCGGCUACGCUCCAUAACGAACCUUGGGGUAGUAUUGCUGGGCUCCAUAACGAACCUUGGAGGCAGCGUUUGUCCUUUGUCCAAAGCCUGUACUUGCCACUGAUUUGUUUAAGAGAAUGAGCUAUGCCAGCGUUGUAAUGAAAAGGAAAUGAUUUGAAAUAAAAUGUUUAUAACGGGCUGAAGUAAAGGUUACGAGUUUUCCACUCAUUUUGGAAUUGUUUUUGUUUUGUAUUUUCUUCGCUGAAUUUGCAGGUUUGGUAUCAAGAGCUCGAGAAUGGAAGUGAAGCAAGAUUAUGGUGUUGUCCUAGAUUAAGGAUUGAGUUUGUAUCUAGUUAGUUGAUUGGAGAUUAAUUAUCGAUAUUUUCAAUGUAUAUGAUAUUUGAGAAUUUUAUUGGAGAUAUUGGUGUAUUGAAGGAUAUUUUUCCGCUGCGAAGUAAAUUAUUUAAGAGUUAAUUAUUAUUUAUGGAUCUUAAGUGCGUUUCGCUAGCAGCUCGGAAGAGCGGGCUGUUACAAGAUGGUAUCAGAGCAACCUUGCGACCGUAUGCCUAGUUGGCUACCUAGCGAGGGUAAAAGAUCUUUGGGAUAGUUUGAAAUCGAUUGGGAUUAUUAGUGGAUAAGAAUUGAUGAUCAGGAAUUAGGAAUGUUGAAGCUUGAGUUUAAGAUUGUUGCGCUUUGGCGUGUGCUAUAUGAUUUCGUUUACGUAAAAAGUGUAAUGCCUUGUAUUGUCUGUGAUGUGUUUGAGAAAAUUCUAUGAUUUGGUUAAGUAAACGAAUUUCAAACGAGAUCUCUAUGAAUGAGAUGUCUGGAAUCCUAUUCCGAAAAUUUGCCCCUUUUGUUUUCUUUGCUCCUCGAUUUUGAUAUUGAGUUGAAGUGGAGAUACAAAAGCUGAUGGUAGAAUUGAGGUUGGAUAACUGAUAUCUUAUGAGUUUGAGAUUUUGGUUUUACUUAAAUCAUUAUUUUCAAGUUUCGAGGACGAAACUUUCAAUAAGGGUGGUAGUAUGUAAUAGCCCUGUUUCUAAGAGCGAUUAUUUAAACAUUAAAUAUAUUUAUUAAGUUAAUUAUGUUUCGGAAAUUCUUAUUUUACUUGAGUUGUGGAAUGUAAUUUUUAUUUGUCGUGUUGUAAUGCAUUUAUUUAUUUAAUUAUAUGAGAUUAUUUAUUUAUUAUUAUGAUUAUUUUGGGUCUUGUGCAAUUAGUUGAGCGGUAUUUUGCAAAUUGGAAAAUCAAGGUUGGUUUCCUUCCCGAACCACCGAGCCCUUUUGUUAUGUUUAUCCGUUAAUGAAACCAAAUCAACCCCCCCCCCCUUGUUACUUUGUCGGUUUAGUUAAACAAAACCCAAACCCAUUUCAUUUGAUUUCUCCUUCCCCGUAAAACCCCAAACCCCAGCCCGGUGAAACCCCAAUUCCUCACUCCUCAGCGUCUCUCUCGCUGACCUUCGCUUCCCCUCCGUCGUCUGCCACUCGUCGGAGCCGCGUCGAAAAGUUUUGUCGGUGUUGCUGCUCCUUUAUAUCGCUCCUAUCAUGGUUCACGAAACCCCUGUUUCGUUCGAUUGUUCUGUCGUAGACCCGAGGUUCGUCGCCCGCGUCGCCACCCCGUCUGGCUGGAGCUUUCUCCUCUCUUCCGUCGCGCGGUUGACUCCUUGGUUGUCUCAUUGUUGUUGGUGAUUCUGCUGCUGGGUUGUCACUGCCGUGUUCUUCUCUCUCCCCCCUGUCCUGCGACCACCGCCUGGUGGUGCUGUGGUUGUUUUGUUGUUGCUGCUGCCGCUGCUUUGCGUCGCACCACGGCGAGCUCUGCUCCCUCUCCCUUGUUUGUCCCUGCUCAACAGAGCAGAGGUUAUUAUUGGAGGAUGAUUAUAGAAUUGAAUCUCAUUUGGGGAUGAAGAUUAUUGAAGGAGGUUAUAUUGUUGGAACUGGAUUGCGGUUCAGGUAACUUUUAUGUUCAGUAAAAUUAUUUACUCAUGCCCAUGUGUGUAUGGAUCUUUAUUCUGUUUUUGAUACUUAAGUUCGUACUAUGGCCGUAGUUAUAGAUGUGAUGAUGAAUGUCAUUGAUUGAUUAUGAAUACGAAAACUGUUUUGCUGGCUUAGUUUAUGAACUGAAAAUAGAAAGUGGGCAAUGUAUGGGUGGAGGAUGGUUACUCUUUUGACCUGAUACGGUCGGCUACGCUCCAUAACGAACCUUGGGGGUAGUAUUGCUGGGCUCCAUAACGAACCUUGGAGGCAUCAUUUUUCCUUUGUCCAAAGCCUGUACUUGCCACUGAUUUGUUUAAGAGAAUGAGCUAUGCCAGCGUUGUAAUGAAAAGGAAAUGAUUUGAAAUAAAAUGUUUAUAACGGGCUGAAGUAAAGGUUACGAGUUUUCCACUCAUUUUGGAAUUGUUUUUGUUUUGUAUUUUCUUCGCUGAAUUUGCAGGUUUGGUAUCAAGAGCUCGAGAAUGGAAGUGAAGCAAGAUUAUGGUGUUGUCCUAGAUUAAGGAUUGAGCUUGUAUCUAGUUAGUUGAUUGGAGAUUAGUUAUCGAUAUUUUCGAUGUAUAUGAUAUUUGAGAAUUUUAUUGGAGAUAUUGGUGUAUUGAAGGAUAUUUUUCCGCUGCGAAGUAAAUUAUUUAAGAGUUAAUUAUUAUU
Molecule: long non-coding RNA, 4384 nt
Organism: Beta vulgaris subsp. vulgaris (sugar beet)
Lineage: Eukaryota; Viridiplantae; Streptophyta; Magnoliopsida; Caryophyllales; Amaranthaceae
Exons: 2
Source: RefSeq, a predicted model, not a curated record